Rattus rattus (black rat) is the source of this 831-nucleotide long non-coding RNA. RefSeq lists it as uncharacterized. The transcript has 5 exons. Lineage: Eukaryota; Metazoa; Chordata; Mammalia; Rodentia; Muridae. The record is from RefSeq and is a predicted model, not a curated record.
UAUAACUACACUAUUCCUUCACAUACGUUCAAAGGACUAGAUGCCCUGUUUUACAGAUAUUUGCUCAACCACGUUCAUCAUUGCUCUGUUCAUAGUAGCUGGAAAAUGGAAACAACCUAAAUGGUCUUCAGCUGAUGAAAGGAUAGUGAAAAUGUGGUGCCUACACACAAUGGAAUUCUAUAUCAGAGCCUGGAAACCAUGGCAGCAGCAGGAAGUUCCGGCUGUUUGAAAGUUGCGGUUCCGGUGUUCAAAAUGCCAAGGAUGAUGGGAAACUUGAGCUUGUUUAUCGGUUUGUACGGAACGCCACCCACCUUUCGACUGGAACACAGAGGACUACUAGAUUAAGUGGAAACAAUGCCCAGGCAUCCCAGUGCCCCCACUGAUGGUCCAGCUAUCAUCAAGAUGGUGACGAGCUUCAUAUGACCUGGAGGAGGACUGUGCAGAGGACCUUCUAGCACCAUAAACACUAAUCAGUGAGCAAUGCUGAACUUCUAAUUAGGCAAGAGCUCAACCUCUUCAUGCUUGAGGACAUAAAGUUCAGGAUCAAGCUCAGAAGCUCACAGCUGCCAGCAGCACACUACAACUGCACCGUCUCCUUAGUCCAUGCUCACUCUUAAAUAGCCACAAAACAUUCAGUGGUAUGGCAAAGGAAACCUCCAUUUCAUUUAGAUGUUUAUGAUAUUUUUCCCCACUUUAAUUAUUUUAUGUAGUUGAAUAUGAUUUUUUUCCUAAGGAAUUUUUUGUAUCUCAAUGUAAGACUCUUCAACCUUUAUGUUAUGCAUAAUUUCCUGUAGUUUCCAAAAGUGCUUUAAUAAAAAGUUUAAUUUUAAA